CCUGGAGAGCCAUUUCCUCGUGGCAGAACACCUCGGCGGCGCUAUCAGCGGUGACGUGUUUCCAGUAAAAUAUAAAAGCAGCCCCGGCAUUUCAAGGCAAUUACACAGAAGGGUCAAGAGAUAGAGGCCGGCACAGAGGAGCUGGACAACAUCACAUCUCCUAAUGCAUUGGGAUAACAUGACAAGGCUCUCCAUCACGCCGUGCAGGGAACAUCGGAAGGGAGCAGCACAAGCGGGCGUCCUCCCAGAGAGCAGGAAGGAGCCACUUGGUCUCUUGAACUUUCCCCUCUGAUUGAAGAUCCUUCUCGGGGUUUUGGCCAUUUCUCCAUCUCGUGCAGACAACGCUCCGAGUGACGGCGCUGAUGUUUCAUCUGUGAUGCAGCACGGGUCAGCAGCCCAGGACGGACGUGGGAGCUGUGGGAAGGUGCAGCAGAGCAGCUGGGAGCCCUGCAUGCAGCUGGCCUUCGGUUUAACAGCAUACAAUGGGGCCUCAGUGCCACGCAUUCCCCAUGAGCUCAGACUUUCCUUGCUUGCAAAGCGCUGUCACUGAGCAGCACUGCCCCAAAAUGCGGCCCCCCAGCAGCGCUCCCCGCUUUGCCGCCUGCAGCCCUGCACGCUGUGUGUCUUUUCCCAGCAGCCCUGUGUUAAUUUUAGCUGUGCUGAGGCUCUGGGCAGGCAGCAGGCGUCCCGUCCCAGGAGCCUCAGAGCAAAGCAGUUUGCUGUGGUCUGAGAACUUAACCCUGGUUUGCGGGGGAUUGGGACACGGCUGGAGCUGCCUGGCAGUGCUGGAGGAAGGGGAGGGUUCUGUCCACACCCCAAGCUCAGAGCAGAGCCAUCAGACCUCCCUGCUUCCUAACACCAAGCCUGAAAACAUUUGCAAACUCUUCCUGAUCCUGCUCGGGGCCACUGGAGAGUUGAGCAGCGACAAAGGGGAAGGCUGUGCAGAGCCACAUGGCUGCUUUUAACCCAGUAACAUCCUCUUUCAUUGGGCCUAAGCCGUUCCUUGUGCUUGGGAGGAACCAAGGAGGCAGCAGGCUGCAUUAAAGCUGACAAAGCCUGUGUUCAACAGCAGCUCUGUAUUGCCCAAGCUGAAGUUCGGCGAUGCCGUGCCAAGAGAUGAUGCCAACCGUGGGAGGGAACCAAUCCAAAGCUAUGGGAAAAACAUUUUUGAGAAGAAACAUCACCUCUGAAACCACAUAAACAAAUCCAUUUUGACACAACUAAACAGAGAGCUCUAAAAGGAAAGUUUGGGAAAAACAGCACUAAUUGGGUGGUGAUUCAUAUGGUGCCGGUCAGACUGUGUUUUUGUAAUCUCCAUUCCUGGGGGAUGAUUUUCAAAGCGCAGAGGAAUGUAGAAGCAGCCUGGCCAGAUGUGGGCUGGAAGACAGAGAGGAGCAAACAGUGCUGAGAGCAGAGGGGCAGCAGCAGAAGAGCCGGGGGCUCCCAGAAAAAACAGCAAAGUGAAUGGGAUCAUCCCAAAGCAGGGCAUGAGAUGCUUCAUCCACUGCCCUGUGCCAGCUGGGGGCAAUGGGAGCAGGGCUGCUUUGCUCAGGUGUCCCAGUGCUGGAGGUGACGCUGUGCCCACAGCAUCUGCUGCAUCUGAGCUGUGUUUUCACUGGGAAGAGCAGAGCAUAAAAGCCACGGCCAGGCAGCUGCAUGAGAAACUAAUCGCUUUUAAUCUGGUUAGAAAACUUCAGCCCUUGGGGGAAAACAGCACAGCUUUCUGGAGCUUGGACCACUGGCUGUCAGGUUUGGAAGAAAUAAAUUAAAUUUGUAUUAGGGUCUGCAAUCACUUCUCUGCUUUGAGAGGCUAUUUCAGAGAGCAGGAGAGCAAUAACCUGCGAGGAGAUGAAAUCCAUAGCAGAGGUGCAGUUCCUCUGCGCACUGAAAUGGCCCCAUUACCAGGAAUACAGUUCCAAAAAGAUCAGCCCUUAUUGGCCUCCAAUUUUUGUUUUUCUUUUUCAAAAGAUCUGUUUCUCCAGGACGCCGUCUCAGGUGGCAAUAAAACGUUAUGGGCUGCACACUCUGAGGAACACAGAGAUCCCAGAGAGCCUUUGUACAAAUGCGUGCCGGGUCUGUAACUCAAAACCCAUUGAAUUCCCUGCAUUAAACAGGGGAGUCAUGCAGAGGCCCUUCUCCAAUCCCAUCUCAUCUGUCAUGAAAAACCACUGCUUUCCAUAACCUACAGCCGGCAAAGACAGAAAAAGGAGCAUUUUUUCCCCAGCCUCUGUUUUUAGCUGUGGUUUUAACUGUGGUUUUCAGUGCUAUCCAAACAGCAGCAGCUGUUGGAUGCAACGCGGCAGCUCCAGCUCCACGCACACCAUGCACACCCUGCCCAGCCCAGGGAACCCAAAUCACCAGGUUCUGCAGGUCCCUCCCCUUCCUGAGCCUCAGAGACGUCGUAAAGAGAAACCAAACCAUCCCUUGGCCCCCACACGCUCCCUUUGAAGGAGGCUCACGGCCGUGGGAGGUUUCUGCAAAGCUUCUUAGAAAAGCUCCUUGAGGUCGGGCUGACUCAGUGCUUCCCAAAAGGCAGCUGAUCACAUUGUGGAGAGCAGCUGCCGAGCACCGCC
Centrocercus urophasianus (Greater sage-grouse) is the source of this 2573-nucleotide long non-coding RNA. RefSeq lists it as uncharacterized. The transcript has 3 exons. Lineage: Eukaryota; Metazoa; Chordata; Aves; Galliformes; Phasianidae. The record is from RefSeq and is a predicted model, not a curated record.